RNAcentral lists this ribosomal RNA (452 nucleotides) under uncultured Anaerolineaceae bacterium. RNAcentral's name for it is "bacterial SSU rRNA". It matches the Rfam family "Bacterial small subunit ribosomal RNA", at positions 919 to 1382 of the family's 1533-position model. Lineage: Bacteria; Bacillati; Chloroflexota; Anaerolineae; Anaerolineales; Anaerolineaceae. The record is from RNAcentral.
ACCCGCACAAGCAGCGGAGUCGUGUGGUUUAAUUCGUUGCUACACGAAGAACCUUACCUGGGUUUGACAUAUAAGUUGUAGGGAACUGAAAAGGGACCGACCCGUUCGGGGAGCUUAUACAGGUGUUGCAUGGCUGUCGUCAGCUCGUGUCGUGAGAUGUUCGGUUAAGUCCGCUAACGAGCGCAACCCUCGCCGUAUGUUACAAGUGUCAUACGGGACUGCCGGUAAAAAGCCGGAGGAAGGUGAGGAUGAUGUCAAGUCAGCAUGACCUUUAUAUCCAGGGCUACACACACGCUACAAUGGUCUGUACAAUUGGUUGCCAAGCCGCGAGGCGGAGCCAAUCCGUAAAGCAGGCCUCAGUUCAGAUUGCAGUCUGCAACUCGACUGCAUGAAGUCGGAGUUGCUAGUAACCGCAGGUCAGCAAUACUGCGGUGAAUACGUUCCCGGGUCUU